Molecule: long non-coding RNA, 72 nt
Organism: Maniola jurtina (meadow brown)
Lineage: Eukaryota; Metazoa; Arthropoda; Insecta; Lepidoptera; Nymphalidae
Exons: 3
Source: RefSeq, a predicted model, not a curated record
AAAAACUGCCUGAUUGUCUGACUGACUGGUCUAUCAACGCACAGCUCAAACUGUUCCUGGACGAAUCGGGCU